Molecule: long non-coding RNA, 3320 nt
Organism: Peromyscus leucopus (white-footed mouse)
Lineage: Eukaryota; Metazoa; Chordata; Mammalia; Rodentia; Cricetidae
Exons: 2
Source: RefSeq, a predicted model, not a curated record
GUACACAUGUGGGUGUUUAUGUGUCACAGUGUUUAUGUGGCGGUUAGAGGAGAACUCGUGGCGCUCAGUUCUCCCCCUCUACAUUUAUGUUGGUUCUGAAGAUCAAAGAUAGGUUGUCAAGCUUGGGAUCGAGUGGCCUUACCUGCGGGCCAUCUUGCCAGUCACCCUGUUUAUUUGGGUUUUGAGAGAAGGUACAAAUCCCAGGCUGGCAUUGAACUUAUGAUCUCCUGGCUUUGGUCUCCCAACUGCUGUGGUUACAGGUGUGCCCCGCCAUGCCCAGCUUUCCUGGUUAAUUUUUAAAACCUUUAGUUCAAUCAAACAUGUUUUCAGCUGGAGGCAUAACUCAGCUGGUAGAGUGCUUGCCUAGAAAGGGCCAGGGCAGACAUUGUCCCCAGGCUUCCUCCCAUGCUCUGCAGAUCUCUUGUUCUUUAUUGUCUUCAGUGGGGACAGGUGUGGUCAGAUGGUCUGACAUCCUUUCAGUCAUGAUUACAGGAUUGCACUGAGAUGUGAUCACAGUAUGAGUCAUCAUAAGAUAUUCUGGAUGCAAUCAGUGGUCAUUUUUGUUCACUAGAAGCUUAGGCACUGAAUCUCAGGCAUGGACAUUGGCACUCCUGGGCUGGGGCCUUGUCAUAUCUUGCUCGCUCUGGUUUCUGGAAUGGGAGAAAGUUUUGGAGGGAGAAAGAAGCUUCGGGAAGUAAUCCCUGUGUUCCAGUGGGACUGGAAAUCCUGCUGCAAGGCCUGGAAUUUUGACUUCCUGUUUGGCCUGGCACUUGUUCCCCCACAUUUUUGGCCCUGACACAUCCUCUUCCUCCCCCUCUCAGGAUGUUUCCUCAUCUGCAAAAUGAGGGGGUUGUAUUAGAUCAUAUCUCAGGCCCCUUUAAGUUUGAAAAAGUGAUGAUUCUGCCUCCCAGCCACCCCCUCACUCUUCCCCCAGGCCUUUUGAUUGACAGUGAGAAGAUGAGGAAGAAUGUGUGUUCUAUAGCUCCAGCUCCCAACAAAGAAUGAUCUAGUCCAACAGAUCAAUGGUACCGAGGCUGAGAAAACCCUGUUUAGGGAAGGAGGGACAGAGGAGUGGCCAAGAUCGGAAAGGCAAGUGUGUAAAGACUCUCCAGAUAAUGGACAAAUGACAAGGAAAAAAAAAAAAAAGAAUAAAAGCGAAGAAGACAGAUGCAUGGUCAAGGCUUAUAAAGGCGAGAACAGGAGUUGCUGGAAUGGGAUGGAUGUGUUGGCAACAUGCUCACAGUCUGGGUGAAUAGAUUUUAAGCUGCCGGCCUCAGAACAAACCAGUGCUGAGAGGUGCUACAGUUUGCAUGUUUAAUGCUUCCUGAGAAAGGGUUCAUGGGUUAAAGGCUUGGGCCCCAGGGUGCCAUUGGAAAGUGGUGGAGCCUUUAGGAAGUGAAGCCUGGUAGGAGAGACUUAGGGCAUUAGGGGUGUGCCCUCCAAGGGGAUUGUGGGACCUUAGCCACUACCUCUUUUUCUCUGCUUCCUGGCCACAAGCUGAGUGCUCAUUCAGUCUCCUGUGGCUGUAACUGGCCUGGCAGAAAUGAAGGUGUCUCGUGUCUCCCCAUCUGACUGUCAGGCUACUGAAACAGUGGAUUCCAAAGAAAUGGGAAUUUCCCCAGAAUUCUCAUGCUGGGAGAAGGAAAGGGCACCAGCCAAGGGGGAACUUAUCUCCUGGACAGAGAUUUCAUACAGUUCUAACACCUUGUCAGACCACUUCACAGGAUGAGACUAAAACCCAGAUAAAGAUGGGUUCCUGGUGGGCGAGGUCACACCUUGAUAGGGACUGCUUAGAUGCGCUUAUCCGUGGCCCUCUAUCUAAAUUUUUAUCUCACUUCAGGACCCUGAGGAUGGACUUGGGGUUGGGGUUUGUGGGAUCUCUCUGUCCUUCUUCCCAAUGUGAUCACACUGAAUAAAACCCCCUCUCUGCUUUCUGCUUUCAAUUCGGCUCUUGCAAUUGGUUUGUUGGGGAUGGGUGACUGGACCUGUCAUGCACACAGGCUGUGAACCCCAGUUUGAUAACAGCCACCUGGCUCCAUCAAAGGCCCAAAGCAAGAGGUGUGUCAGAUCUUGACCAUGUUCUCCAAAAUGUGUGGUUUCAGAUAAGUAUUUCUCCUUAUAAAUAAAGAAAUUAUUUAUUUCAUUAUAGUAACAGAAAGCUGACCACACAAGGAGAUUAAUGCUAUCCCCCGCCUCUCGGCUUCCUGAUUCACUAUGGAAGAGCCACACCCUGUGAAGGGACCCUUCCUCUGGAAGUCAGCAGGGGUGGCUGUUGAUGCCAAGUGACUGUCUGAGGAUGAUAGACUGGGUGGUCCAGCCACUCAGGCCGUCGCUUCCCUAUGAGCUCUAUCAUGACAUCAGUCACAGUUUCUCUUGCUUUUUACUCAAAUAACAGCUCAGUUGUUAUUCCUAGAGUCAUACAAAGGAAGAUGAAGAGAAAUAAGAUACAUUGUAUCAUGUACCUAUAACCCCAGCUACUCAGGAGUCCUGAGAGACAAGGCUUGAACUUGGAGGCUAGCCUAGGCAACUUAGUGAGACCCUGUCUACAAAGGGGUAAGGAGGCAGCUCAAGGGUGGAAUACUUGAGUAGCCUGUGCAAUGCCCUGGGUUCCACCCGCAGCGCCCAGUGGGUGUGAGUGCCUGUAGAGGCCAGAAGAAGGUGUUGGAGCUCCCUAAAAUGGAGUUAUAGGCAGUUGUGAAUGACCUGACUUGGAUGCUAGGAGCCCAGUUCAGAUCCUCUGGAAGAAGAAGAAGCAGGCUUAGGCUCUGAGCCAUCUCUCCAGCCCUGAAAAUGAUUUCUUAAUGGCUAAGGCUAGAGGUGGCUGCUCUCUUCCUGGCUCACCUUUAUCUGCUGUUUGGAUGUUCUCUAGAACACAUUGUCCUCUUCUGAUCUUGGGCUCGUACAGGGCACCCAAAGGAUACACACCGGCUUUUUCACAGCUUCCGUUAAGUCUUUGCUGCAUGGAAACCACACAAGGAGGGCUGUAGCAGUGGCCAGGAAGAAAACUGCCCCCACUGGAAGUUGUUUUUGUGACUGUUCUUUGGAGCAUUGUUCUAAAAAUGGGAAAUUACAUCUUGCCAUGCCAAAGGAAACAAACACCUCAGUAAAAGGGACACCUUCCCUGAGGUGGCUUUUUGGAGCAUGAACAAUUGGAGCUACAGCCACUUCUGGAUGGAGGCUGUGGCAGAAGUUCGACCGGUGCUUUCUUUUCUUGCAAGGGAUGGGAUGUGGGCUUAUCUAUGCAACUAGGGUGGGCUGCGGCAGCUGUGGGUAUAGGUGACUGUCUACUUAUCCACCCAAUAAACAUUUGUCAAGCAUCA